UCCGCCACCACUGCCAUUUUGAGUACUGGUCUCCAUCUUGGCUCUGAAGAAGGACCCCUCCGGCUGGCAUUGAACACAUCUGAAGUCCUGGAGAGAAAGACAGGCAAAUAUAUACAUGAGACGACCAGAUGACAUUUGAGUAGAAACGACCCUAUGUAAAUCAUAACUGAUAAGAGUUUGGCAACAUGGGUUGGCUAGCUACCAACUGGAGUUGUUUUGCUUGACAUAUAAAUCAACACCUCACAUUAGGAGUUACUGUUCCAAUGUAAAAGUGUAGGCCUAUGCCCAAUUCCAAUCAUAUCCCCUAACCGUAGGCACUUUCUGUUUGGUGUUAAAAGGAUGUGAGAAGUAACAACAACAUAAUAUAUACCUAACAGUACCUCUAAGGCAGCAUUUCACCAUUUGUUUACCAUUUCAUCUGAUAGGCGAACUUAAAACAAAGAUUUGACAUAAUGAAACAGUGGAUUGGUCAUGUUUCUGUAUGUUGGGAAAUGGACAGUAGGCAUGCUGGGCCCUUCUGAUUGGAGGACUUAGGUACAUACCAACUAUUUCCUAUUACAUGAGUUAUGUACAGGGAAAAUAAAGAGCAAUGCAAGGAAGAGAACACGAGGCAAUGCUGAGACAGGGCUAGUCUACAACUUCAACAAAAGUUGAGGCACUCAAACAUGUCUUCAUGGCAUACUGUGUAUCAAAACUUGCAUCCUUAUAUGUCCCAUAACUAGAAGGUAGAGACUUUAGACUUGUUGCCACUAUUUCCAGAUGAGUGAAAAACAACUGAUUGCUAGUUUCGAAGAACUCAUAAUUGAACAUUUCUAAAUAUUUGUUAAUUCACUCUGGAGGCAAUUAUUAGCCUAAUACAUCAUGGUGUGCAUGACACUCUUGUUUGAGUGUGCGUGUGUAGGGCAGCGGAUGAGCCCAAAGACCAUGACAUUUGAGAUGGGCUUUUAAAUAGACAAAUGGACAGGCGAGACGGAAAAGUAAAAACCCAAAUCUCCUAUUAUGAAAUAGCCUAACAUAAACGCCAAUAGCCCCACCAAACAUUCAAAUAUUGACUUUUAUCAUUCAACCUUUCUUCUAUAAUGUAAAAUAGCCCUCUAUUUUUGUUCGGAAUAAAAUAAAAAAUAAAAAACACUUUUCAACUGCGCUAAAUAUGUGUUUAUGUGUAGGCUACCGUUCACAGAUUUGUAUAUACUAAUAUUAUCUAGUCAAAAUGCAUGAUCUACAGACAGGCUAUCAAUUGUUUUAAUAAGAGGGUGAUGUCUAGACCGUUAUUCAGAAGGGGAAAAACAUAAACCCUACUUUUUAGAGCAAGAAGCUGUAUGUUGGCCUAUUCAGAUGAGAAAAUGCUGGGAUUGCACGGGGAAGGUUGGAGAAAGGAUGGGGAAAGUCAAUGCGAGUCGGCAGUUGGAACUCCCGAGUCCGAGAGCAUGCAUAAAACUGAAUUGGGACUAAAGUGGGCACCUGAUUGCAUUUCACUCCAUUGCAUUGGCUUGGCCGGAGAAAACAGUCCUGCCUGACACAUUUGGAGGUAAAGGACAUCCCACCCUGACACCCAGCAGAUGUAAAGAACUUGUUUUGAACCUCCCAACCACCCGGAUAAUCACCAUACCAUGACUGUGUUGUUGUGUGUAUAUAUAGACUAAAUGUAUAUGGACACCCUUUCAAAUUUGUGGAUUUGGCUAUUU
This is a long non-coding RNA of Oncorhynchus tshawytscha (Chinook salmon), 1685 nucleotides long. RefSeq lists it as uncharacterized. The transcript is spliced from 3 exons. The record is from RefSeq and is a predicted model, not a curated record. Lineage: Eukaryota; Metazoa; Chordata; Actinopteri; Salmoniformes; Salmonidae.